This is a non-coding RNA of Lactuca sativa (garden lettuce), 601 nucleotides long. The record is from RefSeq and is a predicted model, not a curated record. NCBI's taxonomy places the organism in Eukaryota, Viridiplantae, Streptophyta, Magnoliopsida, Asterales, Asteraceae.
ACCACAACUUUUGUGGAUAUUUCAAGCUAUAUAGUUGAGUUUUUCUGAAAACCUUAAAAAACCAAGCUAAAGCCUGAAUGAACAAAGGGUCAUCAAGCUAUUGAAUCAAAUUUGAGUUAGCAUAACAUCAUCAAAUUCUGUGGAGCUUCUUUCCAAGGCUAUGCAUGCUGAAGAACUACAGUACGUAGGCUUUAACGAACCUAUUUCAUUAGAAUGAUCGAAGAACCCGCUUAUCUAUAGAAAGAGGGAGAGAGAAUGAGAAAUCACUCGAAUGUUAAGGAGAGGAGGAUCUUAAUGGAUCCCUCGUGACUGCCCAGAGGAGAAGAAUAGGUAGGGAAUUUAUGUGUAUUUUUAAUGUUUGAACUUGUGGGUCUAUGUAUGUGUAGAAAAAUAGGAAAAAGUAUGAAAAUUAUAGAAAGCAGUUGAACCGACGGUCGAAUCGGUUAAACCGGGAACCGGUUACCAUACCAGUUCAACUAAAAAAACGGUUUUUAAAAUAUUGCUUGCAGGGUCCAAGGGAAGAUUUUAUAUCAAGAAAAAGUAUGUACAUGUAUUUUUCCCUUCAAAAAUAGAUUGUGACAUCACUGUGAUGUAAGAAUCA